GGUGGAAGCAUAAGCAUACUGGAAAUUAAAAUAUCUGAGUUCCACUGCUGAGUUUGUCACUUACUCUUAGAGUUAGCUACCCUGGCCAAAUCAUUUUGGGGCUCUGGACCUGUUUCUUCACCUGUAAAAUGAGAAGGCUAGAAUGCUGAUUAGUUGAAAAAACCAUAAUGAUCCUAGACAAGAGAGAAUUUUCCUUGGGAAACAUAUAAUGAACUAUACCUUACUCCUUUCAGUGAGGUACUACCUGGGCAUAAUAGUGUAUACACCAUCACAUCUGGCACAUUGAUUUUGCUUAACUGGUUUUCUGUUUGUUGUUUGUUACAGGUGAAGAAUUGAUUGGGGUAGAAGAAGGAGAUAUUUCCAGAAAUGACUGCUAUGAAAACAAAAGGCAUCACUAAAACAUGGCACAGCGCCAUGAAGCAUGCUUGGAUUUGCCCAUUCUGCCUCAGGCGGCAGCCCCGGAAGCUCAAGGGAAAAUUUUCAAGUGAUUAUGUGGAAGUGGUACCUGGACAAAAAGAAGAUGGAUUACCAGGUGUGGCGACUCUCUCCCAGACUUUCUUGUAAGCUGAUGCCCGGAGGCCCUCAGGAGGAGAAUUGGAUGAGGCGCCUGAGCUCCCCCCAAAAGGAAGGGGGGAGGCUUACAUUAGCUGAGCCACCUGGCUAGAUUCUGGAUAAGACACCGGUAUAAAAAAUUUACCAGCUGGAACUCAAAAAUGUGAAAAUUUUCCAUUUGGAACCAGAUUUUUGAUGUCUCUUCAGGGAGGGGAAGCGUAUAGAAUAGUGUCAUAAAUAAUUUAAAAUGUUAGGAUUAGCCAUUUUAUUUCACUAAAUAUGAUCUAACUCCAUAAUUUAAUUUAGCAAAAAGGAUGAAUGGGAGUUUGGAGAAACAUGGAAAGAUGGAUAGAGUGGAAAAGAAAAAUUACAUUUCAUUCAUUUCAUUAGAAAGGGGCUUGGCUCUGGAGUGGAGAGGACCUGGAUUUCAAUCCACCUUUAAUGCUUGCAUGCGUACCUGUGUGAGGUUGGACAAGUUACUUUGCUUUCCUGUGCCUCAGUUUUGGCAUAUAUAAAAUGAAGGCAUUGGACUAGAUGGCUUGUUGAGGUCCUUUCCUAACCUAUAAAUAAACAUCUAUUAAAUAUCUACUACA
RNAcentral lists this long non-coding RNA (1145 nucleotides) under Phascolarctos cinereus (koala). Its description in RNAcentral is "lncRNA (ENSPCIG00000011809.2)". The record is from RNAcentral. Lineage: Eukaryota; Metazoa; Chordata; Mammalia; Diprotodontia; Phascolarctidae.